CGCUCCUCCGGGUAAUGGGCGCGGGGCAGGUCCGGCCAGCGCUCCUCCGGAUAGUGGGCGCGGGGCAGGUCCGGCCAGCGCUCCUCCGGGUAAUGGGCGCGGGGCAGGUCCGGCCAGCGCUCCUCCGGGUAGUGGGCGCGGGGCAGGUCCGGCCAGCGCUCCUCCGGGUAGUGGGCGCGGGGCAGGUCCGGCCAGCGCUCCUCCGGGUAGUGGGCGCGGGGCAGGUCCGGCCAGCGCUCCUCCGGGUAGUGGGCGCGGGGCAG
Long non-coding RNA from Gopherus flavomarginatus (Mexican gopher tortoise), 263 nucleotides. RefSeq lists it as uncharacterized. The record is from RefSeq and is a predicted model, not a curated record. The transcript has 3 exons. Lineage: Eukaryota; Metazoa; Chordata; Testudines; Testudinidae.